GUCCACGCUGUAAACGUUGCGAACUAGGUGUCGGGGGUAUUCACCCCUCCGGUGCCGAAGCUAACGUCUUAAGUUCGCCGCCUGGGAAGUACGGCCGCAAGGCUAAAACUCAAAGGAAUUGACGGGGGCCCGCACAAGCGGUGGAGCAUGUGGUUCAAUUCGAUGCAACGCGAAGAACCUUACCUGGGCUUGACAUCCGGAGAAUCCCUCAGAAAUGAGGGAGUGCCCGUAAGGGAACUCCGAGACAGGUGCUGCAUGGCUGUCGU
This 266-nucleotide ribosomal RNA is filed under the name uncultured bacterium. RNAcentral's name for it is "partial 16S ribosomal RNA". It matches the Rfam family "Bacterial small subunit ribosomal RNA", at positions 793 to 1055 of the family's 1533-position model. The record is from RNAcentral.